GGGUGCCGCGUUCGGAAUGAGUACGAUUCGAACCACCUAACGAGGAACGAUCGGAGGGCAAGUCUGGUGCCAGCAGCCGCGGUAAUUCCAGCUCCAAUAGCGUACGUUAAAGUUGCUGCAGUUAAAAAGCUCGUAGUUGAACGUUCGGGUUCCGCGGGACGGGGCCGCCCCGCGAGGGACGGCGCCGCCCCGGGGCUCGUGAUAUCUCAUCUCGCCGCCCGUCGCGAGGCUGACGGAGGGAUGGAUGAGGUUACCUGGAAAAAAUCGGGGCGAUCUAGGCGGGCGAACCUCGCCAACGAACGAUCGGACAUGGGAUAACGGAAGAGGGCGUCGGCUCGACUUCGUCGGUUCCUCGGGCCGAGGCACGUACGGUGAAUAGGGGACGGUCGGGGCCGCCCGUACCGGGUCGUGAGAGGUGAAAUUCUAGGAUCGACCCGAGACGAACCGCCGCGAAGCAUUCGGCAAGGACGCUUUCAUUAAUCAAGAACGAAAGUCGGGGGAUCGAAGACGAUCAGAUACCGUCGUAGUCCCGACCGUAAACGAUGCCGACCGAGGGCCCGGAGGA
Molecule: ribosomal RNA, 565 nt
Filed under: uncultured eukaryote
Lineage: Eukaryota
Description: bacterial SSU rRNA
Rfam family: Eukaryotic small subunit ribosomal RNA
Source: RNAcentral